CCAGACUCCUACGGGAGGCAGCAGUGGGGGAUAUUGCACAAUGGGGGGAACCCUGAUGCAGCGACGCCGCGUGGGUGAAGGAGCGUUUCGGCGCGUAAAGCCCUAUCGGCAGGGAAGAAGGAGGACGGUACCUGACUAAGAAGCCCCGGCUAACUACGUGCCAGCAGCCGCGGUAAUACGUAGGGGGCAAGCGUUAUCCGGAUUUACUGGGUGUAAAGGGGGCGCAGACGGCGAUGCAAGCCAGGAGUGAAAGCCCGGGGCCCAACCCCGGGACUGCUCUUGGAACUGCGCGGCUGGAGUGCAGGAGGGGCAGGCGGAAUUCCUGGGGUAGCGGUGAAAUGCGUAGAUAUCAGGAGGAACACCAGUGGCGAGGGCGGCUUUCUGGACUGUAACUGACACUGAGGUACGAAAGCGU
This 415-nucleotide ribosomal RNA is filed under the name uncultured bacterium. Its description in RNAcentral is "partial 16S ribosomal RNA". It matches the Rfam family "Bacterial small subunit ribosomal RNA", at positions 331 to 762 of the family's 1533-position model. The record is from RNAcentral.